Molecule: ribosomal RNA, 507 nt
Filed under: uncultured bacterium
Lineage: Bacteria
Description: bacterial SSU rRNA
Rfam family: Bacterial small subunit ribosomal RNA
Source: RNAcentral
AGAACGAACGCUGGCGGCGCGUCUAAGCAUGCAAGUCGAACGGCAAGGAUGGUAGCUUGCUACUAUCCCUAGAGUGGCGGACUGGUGAGUAACACGUGGGUGACCUACCCUCGAGAUGGGGAUAGCCAUUAGAAAUAGUGGAUAAUACCGAAUACGCUCUACGGACUCUGGUUUGUAGAGGAAACAGGCUACGGCCUGGCUCGAGGAUGGGCCCGCGUCCCAUUAGCUAGUUGGUGAGGUAAGAGCCCACCAAGGCGACGAUGGGUAUCCGGCCUGAGAGGGUGUACGGACACAUUGGGACUGAGAUACGGCCCAAACUCCCACGGGAGGCAGCAGCUAAGAAUAUUCCGCAAUGGACGAAAGUCUGACGGAGCGACGCCGCGUGGAUGACGAAGGCCGAAAGGUUGUAAAAUCCUUUUGCUGAUGAAGAAUAAGCGUGGUAGGGAAUGACCGCGUGAUGACAUUAGUCGGUGAAUAAGCCCCGGCUAACUACGUGCCAGCAGCGGC